This 403-nucleotide ribosomal RNA is filed under the name uncultured prokaryote. RNAcentral's name for it is "bacterial SSU rRNA". It matches the Rfam family "Bacterial small subunit ribosomal RNA", at positions 355 to 774 of the family's 1533-position model. The record is from RNAcentral.
UAGGGAAUAUUGGACAAUGGGCGAAAGCCUGAUCCAGCAACGCCGCGUGCGCGAUGACGGCCUUCGGGUUGUAAAGCGCUUUUAGAGGAGAUGAGAAAGGACAGUAUCCUCUGAAUAAGCCUCGGCGAACUACGUGCCAGCAGCCGCGGUAAAACGUAGGAGGCUAGCGUUAUCCGGAUUUAUUGGGCGUAAAGCGCGUGCAGGCGGUCUGGUAAGUUGGAUGUGAAAGCUCCUGGCUUAACUGGGAGAGGUCGUUCAAUACUGUCAGACUAGAGAAUGGGAGAGGGAGGUGGAAUUCCGGGUGUAGUGGUGAAAUGCGUAGAUAUCCGGAGGAACACCAGUGGCGAAGGCGGCCUCCUGGACCAUUCCUGACACUCAGACGCGAAAGCUAGGGUAGCAAACG